This 2615-nucleotide long non-coding RNA is filed under the name Mus musculus (house mouse). RNAcentral describes it as "long non-coding RNA chr8:107341641-107344256". The record is from RNAcentral. Lineage: Eukaryota; Metazoa; Chordata; Mammalia; Rodentia; Muridae.
UCCAGGACAGCCAGGGCUACACAGAGAAACCCUGUCUCGAAAAACCAAAAAAGAAAAAAGAAAAGAAAAGAAACAUGAAAUUUUGAAAUGUUUUGAGAGAUAAGUUAUAAAGUCUUUAAUAUGACACAAUUUGAAGUUUAUAUAAUACUAAGUAUUUAUUAAAUGAACUUGAGAUGUGCUGCAUAGAGCAGUUCAUUUGUCUCCUUGAGCCUGAAGUUUUGACAACUGACAAACAGAGAGAUGAUUAUUUUUACAACUAAAAAGUUAGCGCUUACUAAGGAAACAUCUGUCUCUUAAAGCCUCUUGUAUGUCAGUAUUGCUGACCUUAUCAAUCUUAAAUUCUUCACUAAUGUCCUGGGAAUCAGCAGCCCUAUUUCUUUUAAAGUUCUAGAAGUUUAAAUAUGAUAUUAUAUGGAUAUGGAAAUCAUUUUAGGACUUUUUGUAGUUAAAAUUAUUUUUUAACAGAAAACCUGAAGGAAUAUCUAGCACAAAAGAAUGUGAAUGUCAUUCUGAGACUUCUAAGUAGAAUGUGCCACAAUACAUUAUCUAUGGAAGUUGUCAUUUAGAUGUAAGAUUCCAGUGAUGAAAUCUCUUUCUAACAUGAGGAAGCCCUGCCUUUGAUAUCCAGCUCUGCAAAAAUAAAUCAACUAAUCCCCAUGUAAUGAACUGCUGUUUUCUUGCUUUUUUCUGAAGCUGUUUUACCUUAACAGUUUAUAAAUUGAAUUACUACUUUUCUAAGAAUUAGUUGAUGAUUUCACUGUUUUACAUGUCUGUAGAUGAAAAUAUACAUUUUUUUCCACUUUUACAUUUAAACUUAGAGAAUAAAGAGAUUUUUAGAAUAUAGUUUCAAAGCCAGGCAUGGUGGGUGGUAAACUCAUGUAAACCCAGCACUUGGGAAGCUGAGGCUAUGGGUUUGUGAGAGGGAGAUCAGCCUGGCCUGUAGUGAGUUCAAGAUCAGUUUGGGCUAUGUGGUAAGAAUCCACACACACCCCCGCACCCCCCCCCCAAAAGACCCAACAGGAACAUUUUCAGUAUGUUAGGAAUUAAAUUUAAUUCCUUGUGGUCUUUUUAGUGCAUGUGUGUGUGUGUGUGUGUGUGUAUAUAUAUAUAUAUAUAUAUAUAUAUAAUAUUAGCAUAUAUGUUAGCAUAUAUGUUAUAUAUAUGCAUAUGAUAUAUAUAUACUCACUCAACAAACAUUUAUUACAAAUAAGAUAUUUGUUUUACAGGAAUCAUUUUGAUUUACUCUCAAAACAUUAGCUUGAUUAGUAUAAAUAAAAGUCUCACCAGUUGAAAUAAGUUAUCAUGUCGUUCAAGUUUUCUUAGUACUUCAGUAUCAAAUUUUUCAUUUUUGUUAUAAUCAAUACAUAUGAAUUAUAAGUAGUUGGAAAAAAUACAAGAAAUUAAGUAAAUAGCCCAUAAUCUAGUCACUCAUGUAAAUUGCUGUUGUCAUUACACUAUAAUUUCAUUUAGUUCCUUUGUAUAUACAUAUGGGAGAUACUUUUACAUAGUUUUUAAAUAUACCUUUUUUCUUUUUUGCUUUGGUAAUAAGAUGAAUACAAAACAGAUUAUUAUAGAAUCUCAUGUAUAAGAAAUUAUAUACUCUUCAAUCCUAACAUUUAAAUUCACUCAGAAUGCUAAAAAGAAAAACAUUAUUUUCCCUAUUAUUCCACUUCAGCCUGAUACUUUUGUUCAUAGAUUUAGUCCUCUAGGGACUUUAAAAUGACUUACAUAUACAGGUUAUCUCUGACUUACCUGUGUUAGACUUAGAAAAAUGGUGUUUCUCAGCCAAGUAAGGUCUGGUCCUGCCCUUCUUACCAUUAUAAAAACUCCUUUUCCUCUCUGCUCUCCUUGUCUGUUUCUUCUUCCUGUUUGCCUUCAUCAGCAAGUAUCUCGCAUGAACUUGCCCUGUCAGUCACCAGGAUUCCAGUUACCAGUGCUACCCUUCCCUCCAUACUUCUGUCCCUGUCCUAGGGAGUCCUUCCAACUGAGUGACUGCCUACCUUCCCUUUGCUCUUAUGACUGAGGCAGCAGCUUGGUCACAACUGGAUUGGUAAAUUUUAGGGCCAGGGUUAAAGCUGUUCUUCUGUUUUUAAAAUCAUAAUAUUCCUCUGGGGAUCUGGUUACCUUGCUGAGAGUAAGAAAGGGCAUGGUAGACCCUGACUUUUCAAUAACAUACAUGUGUAAUUUUACAUGCUUCCCUUCCUGGGGGUUGAGGGUUAUUCUGCUUAUUUUCAUAAGGUAUUUGCAUUACAUAGCUACUUUAUAGAGGUCCUAAACACUAUUUUGGACAUUGUAUAAUAACCAAAGAAAUGCUUAAAUUAACACAAUUUUAGAUGGACCCUCACUUAGGUAGGUGGGACAACAGGAGGAUCUGCACCUCAAGGCCACCUUCAGCUAUAUACAACAGGUUGAAGACAGCCUGGGGUAUAUGAGACCCUGUCUCUAGAAAACAAUAAAACAAAACUUCCACAAUUAAAAAACAAAACCACGUAGAAUUACCAGUACUAUAGAAGCUCAGGUUAUAAGAUUUUUACUUUAAUCAUUUAACCAGUCACAGAUAAAAGUAAUCUUUAAAAAAAAAAAAUCACACUGAUUAUUUACUAAAUCUUAUUUCC